This 358-nucleotide long non-coding RNA is filed under the name Mus caroli (Ryukyu mouse). Its description in RNAcentral is "lncRNA (MGP_CAROLIEiJ_G0005152.1)". Lineage: Eukaryota; Metazoa; Chordata; Mammalia; Rodentia; Muridae. The record is from RNAcentral.
GGGGGAAGAAGCUGCUGGGGAGAGAGCUGUUUUGGAAAGGAUUUGAUGGAAAAUGCAAACCGGGCAUGGAGAGGUACGAGGAAGUACAAGACCAUGAAGUUGAUGGAACUCACCUCCAUUUUCUCUGGAAGGUAAAAGGGAAGAGAGCAGUUGCAUGCUUUGUCAAAAUUAGAACUAUCUUCCCGGAGCUGAGCGCAAUUCGCACACGUCUUUGUGUAAUUUAUCUGUCAGAAUCGAAAAACAAUAGUUCACUUAAAGGUCAUAUGAGUCCACAUCUUAAAAUUCAAUGCCCAAGCCUCCCUCCCCCUUCCAUCCCCCCCCCCCCUUUUGGGAUGGAUCCUGCGACAGGGCUAGAGGG